CACUCUUCCAACCUUCAAACAUGACCCUAAAAUCUAACCCGACUUUUGACGACGACGUCGACGACACCAAUUGGACAAAACCAUAGACCCAUAGAAAAAUACCGUCCCUCUUCACUCUUGAUCGUCUUUCUUCUCUUCCUUGGCAGCAGGUGCCUUUUCUUCUGCCUUCUCCUCAGCAGGUGAUUCUUCUUUUACUGCAUCGCUCUUCUUAGCUGCAGCAGGUGCCUCUGCCUCAGACUUCUCCCCAACACUCAAUUUAUCGAGAAGCCCAGCAGCUUCAGUGGCUUCUUUGCUUUCUUCUUCAGGACUCUGGGAUUCAGCAACUUCUUGAAACUUCUCCAUGAACAAUUUGUUA
RNAcentral lists this long non-coding RNA (355 nucleotides) under Malus domestica (apple). RNAcentral's name for it is "long non-coding RNA (MDOM_LNC009996)". The record is from RNAcentral. Lineage: Eukaryota; Viridiplantae; Streptophyta; Magnoliopsida; Rosales; Rosaceae.